Molecule: non-coding RNA, 371 nt
Organism: Paramuricea clavata
Lineage: Eukaryota; Metazoa; Cnidaria; Anthozoa; Malacalcyonacea; Plexauridae
Source: the annotation of a GenBank genome assembly
CAAUUGCGUGGCGCAUACAGGGGAAACACGAUGGAGAAUUUGUGCCUUCGGUUUUCUCUUAAAAUAAUAACUUUAAGCUUACUGACGCUGGUUAUCAUUACUUCAUUUCAAAGACGUCGCAUCCUUAUCUCCCGAAGAGAUCAUGCAUAAACCAAAAUAUCGGACACCCUGUCGAUGUGAAUUGCAAUUUUCUCUGCUUCAGUGCAUCAAAAUGUGUUGGGUUUAACUUCAGACCGAGAACCAAAGCUAUAAACUGUCAACUGACUAACACCACUAAGAAAAGGAAAUACAAAAAAGAGGGAGAAUGGACGUUGACGUUGUAUCUGACAUGAUGUAGCGGAGAUGAUGUAGCGUUAUUCUGAAGAAGGGGC